GAUGAACGCUAGCGGCAGGCCUAACACAUGCAAGUCGAGGGGUAGCAGGAUUAAGCUUGCUUAAUUGCUGACGACCGGCGCACGGGUGCGUAACGCGUAUGCAACCUACCUUAUACUGGGGUAUAGCCCGGAGAAAUUCGGAUUAAUCCCCCAUAGUACUAAUGAAUCGCAUGGUUUAUUAGUUAAAGCAUUGCGGUAUAAGAUGGGCAUGCGUCCUAUUAGCUAGAUGGUGAGGUAACGGCUCACCAUGGCUACGAUAGGUAGGGGGCCUGUGAGGGUGGUCCCCCACACUGGUACUGAGACACGGACCAGACUCCUACGGGAGGCAGCAGUGAGGAAGAUUGGUCAAUGGGCGCAAGCCUGAACCAGCCAUGCCGCGUGCAGGAAGAAUGCCCUAUGGGUUAUAAACUGCUUUUAUUUGGGAAUAAACCUCUUUACGUGUAGAGAGCUGAAGGUACCAAAUGAAUAAGCACCGGCUAACUCCGUGCCAGCCGCCGCGGUAA
This 503-nucleotide ribosomal RNA is filed under the name uncultured bacterium. RNAcentral describes it as "partial 16S ribosomal RNA". It matches the Rfam family "Bacterial small subunit ribosomal RNA", at positions 28 to 523 of the family's 1533-position model. The record is from RNAcentral.